Molecule: ribosomal RNA, 301 nt
Filed under: uncultured bacterium
Lineage: Bacteria
Description: partial 16S ribosomal RNA
Rfam family: Bacterial small subunit ribosomal RNA
Source: RNAcentral
CAGUAGCCGCGGGAACACGAAGGGUGCAAGCGUUACUCGGAAUUACUGGGCGUAAAGCGUGCGUAGGUGGUGGUUUAAGUCCGUUGUGAAAGCCCUGGGCUCAACCUGGGAAUUGCAGUGGAUACUGGGUCACUAGAGUGUGGUAGAGGAUAGUGGAAUUUCCGGUGUAGCGGUGAAAUGCGUAGAUAUAGGAAGGAACACCAGUGGCGAAGGCGACCACCUGGACUGAUACUGACACUGAGGUGCGAAAGCGUGGGGAGCAAACAGGAUUAGAUACCCCCGUAGUCCCUGUCUCUUAUAC